CAAGCAUGCACCAUGCGCCAAAG
Molecule: unclassified non-coding RNA, 23 nt
Filed under: Mus musculus (house mouse)
Lineage: Eukaryota; Metazoa; Chordata; Mammalia; Rodentia; Muridae
Description: oocyte_clustered_small_RNA1122
Source: RNAcentral